This is a non-coding RNA of Triticum aestivum (bread wheat), 115 nucleotides long. NCBI's taxonomy places the organism in Eukaryota, Viridiplantae, Streptophyta, Magnoliopsida, Poales, Poaceae. The record is from Rfam.
UUAGUACUCCCUUCGUCCGGAAUUACUUGUGGCAUAAAUGGAUGUAUCUAGAAUUAAAAUACAUCUAAAUACAUUAAUUUCUCUGACAAGUAUUUCCGGACGGAGGGAGUACUAA